AUGAACUUUAACAGAAAUAGAAAUGCUGAAAUCUACGUUCUACACAUAAAGUCUCAAGUCAGAACCUUCGCAACAUUUAUGCCGAUGUGCACUAAAUCGUAUCUACAUACUCAAAGAAAGUACAGAAACUUUUAUUGCACAGUCCCAAAUUCGAGAAAGGAGCAUACAUGCUCUAAUGCCACCUUCUCUUGUAAAAGUCAGGAGAAAAGUAGUGUGGUAGACAGAAGAGGCAAGAUUUGGCAUUGCCAGUUCUUUUUGACAACUCCUUCUGUACUAGCGAAUGAGCCGGAGGACAGCCAAACACCACAGCCUCUGAUGUCGGUAAGUCUGUCACUGAACGCGCGCAGCGAACAAGGGCAAACGCGCCGACUUACUCUGCACCUGCAGGUCCAUCUCGCGCAUCUCAGUGAAGCGAUCCCUCAGGUCCAUUGGAAGCUGCUCAAUCACUGUCAAAUAGUCCUCUAGGUACAACAUCGCGGCCCUUAGAGCUGGGGGAGCGAAGGGGUCCAGGGGUUUAUUUGUGUCACUCGCUGUCGCCGGAGUUUUGUCCCUUCCAAUAUGGCGCCUCCGCUAGCAGCACCCGCUCGGCUCCGGCGGAAAAAAAAAAAAAGAAAAAAAAAAAGCACUUUGGCGCCUGACGGCGCUUGCCUCACCGCCGCCCGGGGUGAUCAUUGGCUGGCUGAAUCAAUGACGUAAACCGACUGGACCCCGCCCCCGCCCCCUUGUGGGAAGUGUAGUUUUAGUCCCUCCCCAACAAGCUUGAACUUGCUGGCAAUUCUCCACCAGAAAACUACAAAAACCAGGCGCCGGUGCGAGCCGUGAGCAGUAGAAUCUGAAAUGCGGUGCCGCUAUUUAUUUGUUGAUUUUUUCACGGGGGAUGACGGGAGUUGUAUGCUUCUGCAGAACACAACUGGGAAGAACUUUUCACCUGUUCUUUCUUUCUGUGAUUCCAUGCCCCGACGUUUGUGAGUCAUGGAUUUCAAGUAGUGCUAGGCAGACGGCGAAGGUUCCAACGCUAGAAUAAUCAGCAAAGUUCGGGCAAUUGGGAUUGUUUAAAACAGAGCUCGUUGCUGGAAUGUAUCCUCAGUAAACAAUCCUAAAGAUACAAAUGGGACGUCUGGUUGGCUACCGUAUAACUAAAAUAGUUUACACUUAGAACAUGGAGUAAAUAUUUCCUGUGUUGAAAGAUGCAUCAAUAGUUCUCAAUAGCCUCUUAUACAUUGUAUUUUGAGGUCCUUCUAGUCUUCAUUCUAAUGUAAUUGACCUAUACGUACACCUUCACGGGAAAAAAAGUGAGCAACCAGGAAUAACGGAUGAUGUCUUAAUAUCUAAUGGGUUAUUUUUGCAAUAACUAUAUAAGGUCGAAUCAAUAAACUGUAUAAACGUCUGUCACCUCAGACGUUGUCUUCUUCUUUCGAUUACUUCCCGCAUUUGUUCAACCGUGUUAUAUUUAGCCCUUCACUGCUGAGUUUGUUUCCUUUUUCUUAAAGACGUUAACACUCAGUAGAGAUUGAGUAUUGUUAUUUUCCACCUGUCUUUACUUAACUUUUCCCCACCCGCCCAGGGAAAUGUGUCUUUAGUUCAUAAUUUAAUAUUCUACUUCUGUUUUUCAGAUUGGAGCUGAAACACGUUAUGCAUUUGCAUUUUUUUCUCCCUCCUUUUUCCUUAUACACUAGACUUUUCCACUGUUCUUAAUCAGGAGAGUUACCUGUCAGAUUGAUGAAUCGCGAAGGAAAUUUACCUGAGUCUCAAUGAGAAUUACCUAGCUUAUUUUCUGUUAAGUGAAGUGAAGUUGCUCAGUCGUGUCCGACUCUUUGAGACCCCAUAGACUGGUAGACUGCAGCCUGCCAGGCUCCUCUGUCCUUGGGAUUUUCCAGGCAAUAGUACUGGAGUGGAUUGCCAUUUCCUUCUCCAGGGGAUCUUCCCAACCCAGGGCUCGCAAUCCAGUCCAUUUAGCGACUUCAAUCUUCCUCCCUCCCUUCCUUCUGGCUGUCUCGAAUCUAGGUUUGAAUUCCUUCCUUCUGUCCCUUUCUCUUGCCUUAAAACACACACACUUUUUUUAACCAUGCUUAGGAUUUAAGAGGAUUUCUGAAUCAGGAAUAAUGUCCUGCAACAAUUAUAGAAAAUUCUCACCCUUUAUCUUUUUAGUGUUGUUUAUUUCUCAUUUUUCUCCAUUAUAUCGUAGAACAUCUAUAGGACAUUGGUAAGAAUUUCUCACUUUAUCCUCCAGUUCCUCUUGGCCUUUUAUAUGGUCCAUCUCAGAUUUUUCAAACACUUUUUAGUUUUAAAAGUUCUGUUUGCUUCUCAUUUCCUGCCAUUUUCUAAUUUCCUAUACAAAUUAAGCAUAGUCUGUACUCUGUUAAAUCCAGUACUGAAAAUGUUAUGGGUCUUUUGUGCUGUCUGCUGUUUCUUCUAACUUUUGCACAUGGUGUCUGCCUCCUUGUGGGUUAUUAUUUGUGACUCUGUGCUGUGUUUCUAGGGUUAUAACUGGAAAUUCUUAUAGGCCAGAGUUAAAACUAAGUUUUCCUAGAGAUUAUUAGAAUUUGCUUCUGUAAAUCUCUUGGAGGCAUCAUCAAUUCUAGUACCAGAUUAAAUUAUCCACUUGAGGUUUAUUGAAUUGCACAGAUUGAAUGAAUUUGGGCCUCAAAUCAAAGUGGCUUGUUACAGAUUCUCACGGGAGACUUUUUCUUCUGGAGUUUCCUGAUCAAGACAGGCAUGAAGCCCCCUGGCCCUCACUUACUUCUCAGUAUGCUCUCAUUUUUCUUGCUGCCUUUCUUUUCAUCCCCUGUGAGAAUUUCUUCAUUUGUUACUAGUACAUCAGUUUAUUUGAUUUUUUAACCCAGCAUUUUUUGUUGUUUUCAGCAGGUGUUUCAUUCACAAUUAGCUGAAAGGACAUGCUGUCAAAAAUUGAAGAAAUAGAAAUAGAAAUCCAUCAUUUCAGUAUAAUUUGAGCUUCUUCAGGGAGUUUUCUGUAUUAAGGAAACAGAGAUAAUAUAUCAUUUGCAAUUCAGGCAAUUUAUAUCCACUACUCCAAAGAAAUAAAAAAAUUAUAGCACUUACACCCUAUGUAUUUUACUUGAUGUAAUUUUUGUGUUUUUUUGUUUGUUUGUUUCUUUUUUAUUGAAGCAUAAGUGCCAUAUAUUACUUUCAAGUGUACACUGUAUGAUUUGAUAUUUGUUUUUUUAAUGUUUUAUUUUCACGCAAUUUUAAAGGUUGCUUUCCGCUUAUAGUUUAUUAUAAAAUAGGGUUUUUUCCAUUUAUAUUCAUUACAAAAUAUUGAUUGUAUUGCUUGUAUUGUAUAAUACAUCCUUGAGCCUAUCUUAUACCAAGAGUAUGUAAUGACGGUUAUUAUUCUUGGACCAUGUAUCAGCUGCAGAAAAUUGUACACAGAUGUCAUAGCUUCUUAUAUCAUUAACUCAUAGAGCAGAUAGUACUUGGAGUAGCUGCCCACUUAACAACCACUACUGCAUUUCUAGGAAGGGCCCCUUCUAUGUAGGGAUAACCAUAUCUGUAUUCCAUUACUGUACAGCUAAUCAGAGCUCAUUAACUUACCAAGGACAGACCAAAGCCAGACCUAUCAGAUGCAUUCUCUUGGGAUUUUAAAUUGGGAAUGAAGAAACUUGAAAACUGAUGUCAGGGUGACAGAAUCGCAUUAAUUUCAGCACAAUAAAUAGGUGGUCCACAAGCUCCUGUUGCGAAGAUACUCCAGAGAAGCUCCGUUUUUUUUUCCUUGCCUUUUUCUCCUUUUCUUUGUCACUUUGAUAACAUGAAUUGUGUGCUAUUGAGAGUUAUUUUAACACUCUGUGCCUCUGUUUCCUAGUCUGUAAACCAGAAAUAGCAAUAGUAACAAAGUUAUAGGAGUGUUCAGUUCAGUUGCUCAGUCGUGUCUGACUCCUUGCGACCCCAUGAUUUGCAGCAUGCCAGGCCUCCCUGUUCACCAACUCCUGGAGUUCACUCAAACUCACGUCCAUCAAGUCGGUGAUGCCAUCCAGCCAUCUCAUCCUCUGUCGUCCCCUUCUCCUCCUGCCCCCAAUCCCUCCCAGCAUCAGAGUCUUUUCCAAUGAGUCAACUC
Molecule: long non-coding RNA, 4072 nt
Filed under: Ovis aries (sheep)
Lineage: Eukaryota; Metazoa; Chordata; Mammalia; Artiodactyla; Bovidae
Description: lncRNA (ENSOARG00000025249.1)
Source: RNAcentral